UACAGAGGGUGCAAGCGUUAAUCGGAAUUACUGGGCGUAAAGGGCGCGUAGGUGGUUGUUUAAGUUGACUGUGAAAUACCCGGGCUUAACCUGGGGGUGUCAGUCAAGACUGGACGGCUAGAGUAGGAUAGAGGGAAGUGGAAUUUCCGGUGUAGCGGUGAAAUGCGUAGAUAUCGGAAGGAACACCAGUGGCGAAGGCGGCUUCCUGGAUCCAUACUGACACUGAGGCGCGAAAGCGUGGGGAGCAAAC
RNAcentral lists this ribosomal RNA (250 nucleotides) under uncultured bacterium. Its description in RNAcentral is "partial 16S ribosomal RNA". It matches the Rfam family "Bacterial small subunit ribosomal RNA", at positions 524 to 773 of the family's 1533-position model. The record is from RNAcentral.